This 820-nucleotide long non-coding RNA is filed under the name Salvia miltiorrhiza (redroot sage). RNAcentral describes it as "long non-coding RNA (SMIL_LNC006386)". The record is from RNAcentral. Lineage: Eukaryota; Viridiplantae; Streptophyta; Magnoliopsida; Lamiales; Lamiaceae.
GAAUUAAACCGGUUAAUUCGGUUAACCGGUUUUUAUUUUAAAAAAAUUCGAAUUUUUUAAAUGUGUGCAAUAGGAUUUGAACUCAUGACCUUUGAAAGAAAGAAUGAGACCUUAUCCACUGCACCAAUUCAUAACUUGUGAUAAUUUAUAACAAAAAAUAAAAUUAUAAAUACAUCUAAUUUAUAUUAAAAAAAAAAAAGAACAAUGAUAAACUCACACCCAAAAUUCACACGAAUCACACCCAAAAUUCAAUCAAAUACUACAAUUUGCAGCUAACAGCCAAACACCAUAUAUUUCACCAUCAUUAAACAGCAAAAUUCAAUCAGGCGUGUCAAAUAAAUUACAUAUUUGAUGAAACUAAAGUUAAACUCACUUUGUAACAAUGGAGGAGCUGCUGCUGACGGAGGGAAAAACAAGGGAAGAGGCAAGCCUGGCGAACUGAGCGACGUCGGCAAAGUGCUGCUGCUGCCUGCUGUUGCCGGAGGGAGGAACCAGGCGGAGAAGGCGCCAGUGCAAGGGACGACCGGUGCUGCCUGCUGCUGCUGCUGCCGGAGGGAGGAACCAGGCGGAGAAGGCGCCGAUGCUGCUGCUGCUGCUGCCGGAGGGAGGAACCAGGGGUCCAGGUGGAGAAGGCGCCGGUGCCGGUGGGAGGCGGGGAUGGGAGGCCGGAGGGAACCGUGGAGGAGGCGGGCUGCGGGUGGAAACAGGACAGGAAGGCCGAAGGUGGGGAUGGGAGGCGGCUGGGCUAGAACAGUUGGGUGAGAAGUGGGAACUGGGAAGGAACCGCACGCAUCCCCUAAACUUCUAAACCCUAUUGGCU